Molecule: ribosomal RNA, 466 nt
Filed under: uncultured bacterium
Lineage: Bacteria
Description: SSU rRNA
Rfam family: Bacterial small subunit ribosomal RNA
Source: RNAcentral
AGGACGAACGCUGGCGGCGUGCUUAACACAUGCAAGUCGAGCGGAAAGGCCUUUCGGGGUACUCGAGCGGCGAACGGGUGAGUAACACGUGAGUAACCUGCCCUUCACUUUGGGAUAACCCUCGGAAACGGGGGCUAAUACCGGAUAUGACCUUCCAGGGCAUCUUGGUGGGUGGAAAGUUUUUCGGUGGGGGAUGGGCUCGCGGCCUAUCAGCUUGUUGGUGGGGUAAUGGCCUACCAAGGCGACGACGGGUAGCCGGCCUGAGAGGGCGACCGGCCACACUGGGACUGAGACACGGCCCAGACUCCUACGGGAGGCAGCAGUGGGGAAUAUUGCACAAUGGGCGAAGCCUGAUGCAGCGACGCCGCGUGAGGGAUGACGGCCUUCGGGUUGUAAACCUCUUUCAGCAGGGACGAAGCGAAAGUGACGGUACCUGCAGAGAGCGCGCACUACGUGCAGCAGCCGC